GAAAUGCGAUAAGUAAUGAGAAUUGCAGAAUUCAGUGGAUCAUCGAAUCUUUGAACGCACAUUGCGCCCCUUGGUAUUCCGAGGGGCAUGCCUGUUCGAGCGUCAUUUCAACCCUCAAGCUCUGCUUGGUCUUGGGCCUGGCCGUGAUGGCCGGUCUUAAAAUCAGUGGCGGUGCCGUCGCAGGCUCCAAGCGUAGUACAUCUCUCGCUCUGGAAACCUGGCGGUGCCUGCCAGACAACCCCUAAUUGUCUCUUUCGGUUGACCUCGGAUCAGGUAGGGAUACCCGCUGAACUUAA
Molecule: unclassified non-coding RNA, 296 nt
Filed under: uncultured Scytalidium
Lineage: Eukaryota; Fungi; Ascomycota
Description: sequence contains ITS1
Rfam family: 5.8S ribosomal RNA (bases 1-105)
Source: RNAcentral